Molecule: unclassified non-coding RNA, 240 nt
Filed under: soil metagenome
Description: partial contains 5.8S ribosomal RNA, internal transcribed spacer 2, and large subunit ribosomal RNA
Source: RNAcentral
AACGGUCUAUACCUGCGGUACCUGCGGAAGGAUCAUUACUGAGGAGGGUCCAUGGCCCGAUCUCCAACCCUUUGAUAAAAACACCAUGUUGCUUUGGCAGGCCCGCCCGUUGGGGCCGCGGGGGAUCGCCGGUCCCUAGCCCGUGCCUGCCGGUAGCCUUCACAAAACUCUCAAAAUGUUGUCGUCUGAGAUGAUUAGAAUAAUAAAACUUUCAACAACGGAUCUCUAGAUCGGAAGAGC